This 73-nucleotide transfer RNA is filed under the name Antrostomus carolinensis (chuck-will's-widow). RNAcentral's name for it is "Caprimulgus carolinensis (chuck-will's-widow) tRNA". It matches the Rfam family "tRNA". From Rfam's summary of the family: Transfer RNA (tRNA) molecules are approximately 80 nucleotides in length. The record is from Rfam by way of RNAcentral. Lineage: Eukaryota; Metazoa; Chordata; Aves; Caprimulgiformes; Caprimulgidae.
GCCUGGCUAGCUCAGUCAGUAGAGCAUGAAACUCUUAAUCCCGGGGUUGAGGGUUCAUGCCCCAUGUUGGGCG